Molecule: non-coding RNA, 114 nt
Organism: Parathielavia appendiculata
Lineage: Eukaryota; Fungi; Ascomycota; Sordariomycetes; Sordariales; Chaetomiaceae
Source: the annotation of a RefSeq genome assembly
GGCUCAAUGGUCUAGUGGUAUGAUUCGCGCUUCGGGACGGCUUCAGUCCUCCCUUGCUUGGACAUAAGUAACAUAAUAUGUGCGAGGUCUCGGGUUCGAUCCCCGAUUGAGCCC